RNAcentral lists this non-coding RNA (20 nucleotides) under Arabidopsis thaliana (thale cress). The record is from RNAcentral. Lineage: Eukaryota; Viridiplantae; Streptophyta; Magnoliopsida; Brassicales; Brassicaceae.
UCCAAUGGUCAGCCCAUGGU